GGAUGAACGCUAGCUACAGGCUUAACACAUGCAAGUCGAGGGGAAACGACAUCGAAAGCUUGCUUUCGAUGGGCGUCGACCGGCGCACGGGUGAGUAACGCGUAUCCAACCUGCCCAUCACUUGGGGAUAACCUUGCGAAAGUAAGACUAAUACCCAAUGACGUCUCUAGAAGACAUCUGAAGGAGAUUAAAGAUUUAUCGGUGAUGGAUGGGGAUGCGUCUGAUUAGCUUGUUGGCGGGGUAACGGCCCACCAAGGCGACGAUCAGUAGGGGUUCUGAGAGGAAGGUCCCCCACAUUGGAACUGAGACACGGUCCAAACUCCUACGGGAGGCAGCAGUGAGGAAUAUUGGUCAAUGGGCGAGAGCCUGAACCAGCCAAGUAGCGUGCAGGAUGACGGCCCUAUGGGUUGUAAACUGCUUUUAUAAGGGAAUAAAGUGAGCCUCGUGAGGCUUUUUGCAUGUACCUUAUGAAUAAGGACCGGCUAAUUCCGUGCCAGCAGCCGCGGUAAUACGGAAGGUCCGGGCGUUAUCCGGAUUUAUUGGGUUUAAAGGGAGCGUAGGCCGGAGAUUAAGCGUGUUGUGAAAUGUAGACGCUCAACGUCUGCACUGCAGCGCGAACUGGUUUCCUUGAGUACGCACAAAGUGGGCGGAAUUCGUGGUGUAGCGGUGAAAUGCUUAGAUAUCACGAAGAACUCCGAUUGCGAAGGCAGCUCACUGGAGCGCAACUGACGCUGAAGCUCGAAAGUGCGGGUAUCGAACAGGAUUAGAUACCCUGGUAGUCCGCACGGUAAACGAUGGAUGCCCGCUGUUGGUCUGAAUAGGUCAGCGGCCAAGCGAAAGCAUUAAGCAUCCCACCUGGGGAGUACGCCGGCAACGGUGAAACUCAAAGGAAUUGACGGAAGGGCGA
This 907-nucleotide ribosomal RNA is filed under the name uncultured bacterium. Its description in RNAcentral is "bacterial SSU rRNA". It matches the Rfam family "Bacterial small subunit ribosomal RNA", at positions 27 to 924 of the family's 1533-position model. The record is from RNAcentral.